RNAcentral lists this transfer RNA (61 nucleotides) under Argynnis paphia (silver-washed fritillary). RNAcentral describes it as "tRNA-Ser". Lineage: Eukaryota; Metazoa; Arthropoda; Insecta; Lepidoptera; Nymphalidae. The record is from RNAcentral. RNAcentral also lists the same sequence under 2 other names.
GAAAUAUUUUACAAUUAAGCUGCUAACUUAAUUAAUAGUGAUUUAAAUCAUUAAUAUUUCU